GUGGAAAUGAUCACAGGACCAUCUUGCCUGCCUGUUGAGAAGGCAUCAGGAAGACCAAAGAACUCACCAUGCCAAAGUCAUUCUGUGUGUGAGAUUGGAGUCCCUUCUAGGCUCUGUCUUUUGGAAACAGUGUCACAUCCUCUACUCUCUCGAGCUGUGACCUUUCUGAGUGGGCUCUGCCCCUGCUGAGGAGACCUGAAGUUGUCCAGCUGUUUCAGUGAGUGUUAAAUUCUAAGCACCGAGGACAAAAGCCCUAAUGCCCUAAGAGAUUAUCGUGGGUUGGUAAUCAAGGAAGACGAAAUUUCAGAGAUGGCAGAGGCACAGAAGUUCAUGUGCUUGUACCUCUGAACUUCCCCCAUUCAAGGCAAAGUUUAUUAAAAUGUCCCUUUUAUCUUAUUUAAAAUUUUGUGUGU
Molecule: long non-coding RNA, 413 nt
Organism: Talpa occidentalis (Iberian mole)
Lineage: Eukaryota; Metazoa; Chordata; Mammalia; Eulipotyphla; Talpidae
Exons: 3
Source: RefSeq, a predicted model, not a curated record